CCCAGCAGACCCAUUUGCGCAUCUUAUUCAUAUUUGUAUAGAUUUUUAUACAAAUCUAAAUCACUUGUUUUCGGUAGGAAAAAAUACUGUAAGCCGACGGGUUCCGUAAUACAAUUGCGGCCAGACCCUCGCCACUGAAUAGGUACUACCCCUCGCGGCUCAAGCAGACCGGCCGUUCUGCGCCUCCUGUCAAAGGGCCAGCUCGUGGAUUGCUAGCUUUGAUGACUUGAACCGCUGAGGCCACCUUCGUCCAUGCAUCGUGCUCUACCCAAACCCAAAUCCUUCUCGUGCAUGCAGGCAACACUGCAAUAGCCAUGGCUGCCACUUGACUUCGUCGAGCCCGCGCCGAUCUGUCCUAUCGAUGAUGAUGGGGAACGCCUGUGAAGUCUCCCACUCAGCAGUCAGCACCCAGGUUUUUUUUUUUUUGAGCGUCCUCCGACUCUUGCUUGGAACCUGGGAGUCUGGGUCUCUGGGACACGGACGGACAAACGGAACCAGGUCCAACCCAAUCUGUGUAUUGCAUCCAUGCCGGCCGCUUCCUCCGAGCCCAGAGGCGGACGCCAGCACCGCACUGCAGUAAUGGGCUUGGCCCAGAUACAGGAGGGGAUCGAGGUGGGUUGGGUUUGAUCAAGGGAUAGAUUGGCUUGCUGGAUUCGGCCCGGCCGAGUGCACCGAGAUGUUUUCGUUUUUUUUUCAAAACAGAAAAGGAAUUGAGAAAUUAAAAAAGCACUAAAAUAAGAUCAAACAAAAUUCUGAGAAAUAAAUAAAUUCCAAUUCAUAUUUAUAGGGAGUGUCUAUUUCUCAGUCGCCUAAGAAUAGUUAUUUUUCAACCGACAAUCGUAACCAUCUAAUGAAAAUUUUCUUAUCCAUCGGACCUACAUUAAUAUUACAUGAAUCUCAAUGAUUGAAUGAAUCAAAAGGUUGUUAGCAUCGACUAACAAAUAUUAUUUCUCAGUCACCUAAAAAAUAGCAAAACCGAUAUUUAUAUGGAGUAAAAUUUGAAUGAAAUCAUUUACUUUUCUUCUAUACAACUCAGCU
RNAcentral lists this long non-coding RNA (1038 nucleotides) under Brachypodium distachyon (stiff brome). RNAcentral describes it as "long non-coding RNA (BDIS_LNC002920)". The record is from RNAcentral. Lineage: Eukaryota; Viridiplantae; Streptophyta; Magnoliopsida; Poales; Poaceae.